This 27-nucleotide non-coding RNA is filed under the name Mus musculus (house mouse). Lineage: Eukaryota; Metazoa; Chordata; Mammalia; Rodentia; Muridae. The record is from RNAcentral.
UGAAUGUACUGUUUUUCUGGAAGGUUC